UACAGAGGGUGCGAGCGUUGUUCGGAAUUAUUGGGCGUAAAGGGCGCGUAGGCGGUGCGGUAAGUCACCUGUGAAAUCUCCUGGCUCAACUGGGAGCUUGCAGGCGAAACUGCCGUGCUGGAGUGUGGGAGAGGUGCGUGGAAUUCCUGGUGUAGCGGUGAAAUGCGUAGAUAUCAGGAGGAACACCUGUGGCGAAAGCGACUUCCUGGACCAAUACUGACGCUCAUGUGCGAAAGCGUGGGGAGCAAACAGG
Molecule: ribosomal RNA, 253 nt
Filed under: uncultured bacterium
Lineage: Bacteria
Description: partial 16S ribosomal RNA
Rfam family: Bacterial small subunit ribosomal RNA
Source: RNAcentral